UAAACAGCAUCUGUCGGGACCAAAUUUUAGUGCCAAUAUUGAGAGCAUGCCGGAUUGGAGGGCUGCUGGUUUAGAGGGCUUCCACUGUAUUGAUACAGAUAUUUGUGAAACUCA
Long non-coding RNA from Haliotis rubra (blacklip abalone), 114 nucleotides. RefSeq lists it as uncharacterized. The record is from RefSeq and is a predicted model, not a curated record. The transcript has 4 exons. NCBI's taxonomy places the organism in Eukaryota, Metazoa, Mollusca, Gastropoda, Lepetellida, Haliotidae.